GGAGUUUGGGCCGUGUCUCAGUCCCAAUGUGGCCGGUCACCCUCUCAGGUCGGCUAUGGAUCGUCGGCUUGGUGGGCCGUUACCUCACCAACUACCUAAUCCAACGCGGGCCCAUCGUAUGCCGUUAUGGCUUUUCACACUGCACCAUGCGGUGCUGUGCGCUUAUGCGGUAUUAGCAGUCGUUUCCAACUGUUGUCCCCCUGCAUACGGCAGGUUGCCCACGCGUUACUCACCCGUCCGCCACUAAGUCAAAGAGAAAUCCGUCCGAAAACUUCAUUCUCAGUGCUUCGUUCGACUUGCAUGUGUUAAGCACGCCGCCAGCGUUCAUC
This 329-nucleotide ribosomal RNA is filed under the name uncultured Ruminococcus sp. Its description in RNAcentral is "partial 16S ribosomal RNA". Lineage: Bacteria; Bacillati; Bacillota; Clostridia; Eubacteriales; Oscillospiraceae. The record is from RNAcentral.